This 94-nucleotide microRNA precursor is filed under the name Paramuricea clavata. Lineage: Eukaryota; Metazoa; Cnidaria; Anthozoa; Malacalcyonacea; Plexauridae. The record is from RNAcentral.
UAGUUCCUUCAAUACCAAUGUGUUCUAGUAAUAUGAAUUUUUAGUAAUAUGAAAUUCAUAUUACUAGAACACAUUGGUAUUGAAGGAACUAGAU